AACCCAUGGUGAGGGCACCUUUUAAACUGAUCCUUUUAUCUCUCCCAUGCAUCGUAAAGUGUUUCUAAAUCCAUCUACACAAAAGAAGAUAUAUCAUUACGUAAUUU
RNAcentral lists this small nucleolar RNA (107 nucleotides) under Gossypium arboreum. RNAcentral describes it as "Plant small nucleolar RNA R71". It matches the Rfam family "Plant small nucleolar RNA R71". Rfam says of the family: R71 is a member of the C/D box family of snoRNAs containing the C (UGAUGA) and D (CUGA) box motifs. The record is from Rfam by way of RNAcentral. Lineage: Eukaryota; Viridiplantae; Streptophyta; Magnoliopsida; Malvales; Malvaceae.